CUGGCGGCAGGCCUAACACAUGCAAGUCGAGCGCUCACUUCGGUGGGAGCGGCGGACGGGUUAGUAACGCGUGGGAAUAUGCCCGGUACUAAGGAAUAGCCUUUGGAAACGAAGAGUAAUACCUUAUACGCCCUUCGGGGGAAAGAUUUAUCGGUAUCGGAUUAGCCCGCGUAAGAUUAGAUAGUUGGUGGGGUAAUGGCCUACCAAGUCUACGAUCUUUAGCUGGUUUUAGAGGAUGAUCAGCAACACUGGGACUGAGACACGGCCCAGACUCCUACGGGAGGCAGCAGUGGGGAAUCUUAGACAAUGGGCGCAAGCCUGAUCUAGCCAUGCCGCGUGAGUGAAGAAGGCCUUAGGGUCGUAAAACUCUUUCGCCAGAGAUGAUAAUGACAGUAUCUGGUAAAGAAACCCCGGCUAACUCCGUGCCAGCAGCCGCGGUAAUACGGAGGGGGUUAGCGUUGUUCGGAAUUACUGGGCGUAAAGCGCACGUAGGCGGACUGGAAAGUUGGGGGUGAAAUCCCGGGGCUCAACCUCGGAACUGCCUCCAAAACUAUCAGUCUAGAGUUCGAGAGAGGUGAGUGGAAUUCCAAGUGUAGAGGUGAAAUUCGUAGAUAUUUGGAGGAACACCAGUGGCGAAGGCGGCUCACUGGCUCGAUACUGACGCUGAGGUGCGAAAGUGUGGGGAGCAAACAGGAUUAGAUACCCUGGUAGUCCACACCGUAAACGAUGAAUGCCAGUCGUCGGCAAGUAUACUUGUCGGUGACACACCUAACGGAUUAAGCAUUCCGCCUGGGGAGUACGGUCGCAAGAUUAAAACUCAAAGGAAUUGACGGGGGCCCGCACAAGCGGUGGAGCAUGUGGUUUAAUUCGAAGC
This 874-nucleotide ribosomal RNA is filed under the name uncultured marine bacterium. Its description in RNAcentral is "bacterial SSU rRNA". It matches the Rfam family "Bacterial small subunit ribosomal RNA", at positions 36 to 957 of the family's 1533-position model. The record is from RNAcentral.